CCAUGCGAAGCUUAAAUAACAUCUUUUGCUUUAUGAUAAUAGCUAAAAAUAAAUGAAAUGUUAAAAAUAUAAUUUUAAAUGAUUAAAUUUUGGAAUGUUUUAGAUGAUUCAAUUUAUGUGCUGGAAAUAUCUCUGCCCUAUUUAAAAUCAAAUAUGUAUUCCAAUGCCAAAAAAAGAGCACCACCUAUUAAUCUUAACCAACGUAGACAGAUAUAGGCCGGCAU
Molecule: long non-coding RNA, 224 nt
Filed under: Elaeis guineensis (African oil palm)
Lineage: Eukaryota; Viridiplantae; Streptophyta; Magnoliopsida; Arecales; Arecaceae
Description: long non-coding RNA (EGUI_LNC011467)
Source: RNAcentral